GUGCUUGCUUCGGCAGCACAUAUAGUAAAAUUGUAACAAUACAGAGAAGAUUAUCACAGCCCCUGCACAAAGGAUGACACUCAAAUUCAUGAAGCAUUCCAUAUUUUU
Small nuclear RNA from Dipodomys ordii (Ord's kangaroo rat), 108 nucleotides. NCBI's taxonomy places the organism in Eukaryota, Metazoa, Chordata, Mammalia, Rodentia, Heteromyidae. The record is from Ensembl.